UAGUAUUCAAUUGUCAGAGGUGAAAUUCUUGGAUUUAUUGAAGACUAUCUACUGCGAAAGCAUUUGCCAAGGAUGUUUUCAUUAAUCAAGAACGAAAGUUAGGGGAUCGAAGACGAUCAAUACCGUCGUAGUCUUAACCRUAAACUAUGCCGACUAGGGAUCGGAUGAUGUUAAUUUUUUAAUGACUCA
This 189-nucleotide ribosomal RNA is filed under the name uncultured Glomeromycotina. RNAcentral describes it as "partial 18S ribosomal RNA". It matches the Rfam family "Eukaryotic small subunit ribosomal RNA", at positions 903 to 1089 of the family's 1831-position model. The record is from RNAcentral. Lineage: Eukaryota; Fungi; Glomeromycota.